RNAcentral lists this ribosomal RNA (460 nucleotides) under uncultured bacterium. RNAcentral's name for it is "partial 16S ribosomal RNA". It matches the Rfam family "Bacterial small subunit ribosomal RNA", at positions 338 to 795 of the family's 1533-position model. The record is from RNAcentral.
CCUACGGGUGACAGCAGUGAGGAAUAUUGGUCAAUGGACGCAAGUCUGAACCAGCCAAGCCGCGUGAGGGAAGACGGCUCUAAGAGUUGUAGACUGCUUUUGUACGAGGGGAAAAACCGAGACGUGUAUCGGGUUGAGAGUAUCGUAAGAAUAAGGAUCGGCUAACUCCGGGCCAGCAGCCGCGGUAAUAAGGAGGAUUCAAGCGUUAUCCGGAUUUAUUGGGUUUAAAGGGUGCGUAGGCGGUGCGAUAAGUUAGAGGUGAAAUCCCGGGGCUCAACUCCGGCACUGCCUCUGAUACUGUCGGGCUAGAGUUGAGCUGCGGUAGGCGGAAUGUAUGGUGUAGCGGUGAAAUGCAUAGAGAUCAUACAGAACACCGAUUGCGAAGGCAGCUUACCAAACUACGACUGACGUUGAGGCACGAAAGCGUGGGGAGCAAACAGGAUUAGAUACCCCUGUAGUC